GACGAACGCUGGCGGCGUGGAUUAGGCAUGCAAGUCGAACGGUAGGAUACCUUCGGGUAUCUGAGAGUGGCGAACGGGUGAGUAACACGUAGGUGAUCUACCCUCAAGAUUGGGACAACCCAGGGGAAACUUGGGCUAAUACCGGAUGAAAGCAGCAGUGAUGUUGUUUGAAAGGUGGCGUAAGCUGCCGUUUGGGGAUGAGCCUGCGCUCUAUUAGUUAGUUGGCGGGGUAAAGGCCCACAAGGCGAUGAUAGAUAGGCGGCCUUAACGGGUGUCGCCCACACUGGGAUUGAGAUACGGCCCAGACUCCUACGGGAGGCAGCAGUCGAGAAUAGUCUACGAAUUGGCCGAAAGGCUGAUAGUGCGACGCCGCGUGAACGAAGAAGCCCUUGGGGUGUAAAGUUCUUUUAUAUGUGAGCAGUGCUUUCUAUGUGAACAGCAUGGGGAGAGAGAUAUUAGCAUAUGAAUAAGCAAACGGCUAAACUCCGUGCCCAGC
Molecule: ribosomal RNA, 496 nt
Filed under: uncultured bacterium
Lineage: Bacteria
Description: bacterial SSU rRNA
Rfam family: Bacterial small subunit ribosomal RNA
Source: RNAcentral